Molecule: ribosomal RNA, 590 nt
Filed under: uncultured bacterium
Lineage: Bacteria
Description: bacterial SSU rRNA
Rfam family: Bacterial small subunit ribosomal RNA
Source: RNAcentral
CCUACGGGAGGCAGCAGUGGGGAAUCUUGCGCAAUGGGGGCAACCCUGACGCAGCCAUGCCGCGUGAAUGAUGAAGGCCUUAGGGUUGUAAAGUUCUUUUGCCCGUGACGAUGAUGACGGUAACGGGAGAAUAAGCUCCGGCUAACUUCGUGCCAGCAGCCGCGGUAAUACGAAGGGGGCUAGCGUUGUUCGGAAUUACUGGGCGUAAAGCGCGCGCAGGCGGUUCGAUAAGUUAGGGGUGAAAUCCCUGGGCUCAACCCAGGAAUGGCCUUUAAAGACUGUCGAGCUAGAGGACGAGAGAGGUGAGUGGAAUUCCCAGUGUAGAGGUGAAAUUCGUAGAUAUUGGGAAGAACACCGGUGGCGAAGGCGGCUCACUGGCUCGUUUCUGACGCUGAGGCGCGAAAGCGUGGGGAGCAAACAGGAUUAGAUACCCUGGUAGUCCACGCCCUAAACGAUGAGUGCCAGGUGUCGGGAAGCUUAGCUUCUCGGCGCCGCAGCUAACGCCUUAAGCACUCCGCCUGGGGAGUACGGCCGCAGGUUAAACUCAAAUGAAUUGACGGCUGAGACGNGCGACGCGACGACGAGGAGAG